AGGGGUUAAGGGAGAAGUUUCUGCAUGCACUAGUGUCCCUAGUAAUGUAAAAAAACAGAUGGCGGCAAUUCUUAAUGCUAACAAAGGUAAAAAAAUUGCCAAACAUAGGAUGAAUGAGGAGAUAGCUAGUUUAUAUACACCAUCAAGCAGGAAUGAUACAGAAGAGCAAUAUAAUAAUGAUCUAGAAGAGCAAUAUAAUAAUGAGCUAGACAUGGCCACAUGAGUUUACAUGAACAAUAUCAGAAGGAACGUGGGUUUAGAAUGCUCGGUGGGUUUAGCUCAGACAUG
Molecule: long non-coding RNA, 288 nt
Filed under: Amborella trichopoda
Lineage: Eukaryota; Viridiplantae; Streptophyta; Magnoliopsida; Amborellales; Amborellaceae
Description: long non-coding RNA (ATRI_LNC003140)
Source: RNAcentral